Podarcis lilfordi (Lilford's wall lizard) is the source of this 75-nucleotide non-coding RNA. Lineage: Eukaryota; Metazoa; Chordata; Lepidosauria; Squamata; Lacertidae. The record is from the annotation of a GenBank genome assembly.
CAAAUAGCUCAAUUGGUAGAGAAUGAGACUCUAAAUCCCAGAGUUGUGGGUUCGAGUCCCACCCUGGGUGAAAGA